This 481-nucleotide long non-coding RNA is filed under the name Homo sapiens (human). RNAcentral's name for it is "non-protein coding lnc-LIFR-1:4". The record is from RNAcentral. Lineage: Eukaryota; Metazoa; Chordata; Mammalia; Primates; Hominidae.
AGUCAUUUUGCUGGCCCGAACAUAGCCACCUGUAAGCUGGAACUUCCUUACGGCAGCCUGUCACUUCCACGGGACCCACCAGCUUAAAUGCCGGCAGCCCUGGGACUUCUGGCCUCACAAUGGUUGAGAUGACUGGGGUGUGGCAGUGCCAAGCCGAGGCUGUGAAAGGCCUUCCACCUUUACUCUCGUGCUCGUGCCCUCCCCCAUUGUUAGGAGAAGGGCAUGCUCAGGCCAGCCCAUUAGCCCAGGAGGAGGACAAGAAACACACGGAGCAGACACAAGCCACCUCACCAACCCAGCCAAGGCUGUCCUGAAUUAGCAACCCUGACACGUGUGAGCAAGUCCAACGGACACCGGAAGAUCCACCUAGUCAAGCCCAACCAAGACUGGCAGAGCUGCCAAGCUGACCACUUAAGGCGCAUGAGGAAUAAACACUCGUUGCUGCAUGCCAUUGCAGUUUUGUGAUUUUUGUUAUGCAGCA